UUGUCUUUGGCAGCACAUAUACUUCAAUUGGAAUAAUACAGAGAAGAUUAGCAUGGCUGCUGAGCAAGGAUUAUGCACAAAUUCAUGAAGUGAGCACAGUUAAC
RNAcentral lists this small nuclear RNA (104 nucleotides) under Neotoma lepida (desert woodrat). The record is from RNAcentral. Lineage: Eukaryota; Metazoa; Chordata; Mammalia; Rodentia; Cricetidae.